Long non-coding RNA from Lagenorhynchus albirostris (white-beaked dolphin), 371 nucleotides. RefSeq lists it as uncharacterized. The record is from RefSeq and is a predicted model, not a curated record. Lineage: Eukaryota; Metazoa; Chordata; Mammalia; Artiodactyla; Delphinidae. The transcript is spliced from 3 exons.
CCAGGGCCACACCCGGGCUGCCCGUCGCUUGGGAGCGGCGCCCACUGGAAAAGUGGGGAAGAUGCGGCGAGGCGGCCGCGGGUGACCGCUGGCAGCCAUUGUGGCGUGCUCCCGUGCUGUCUUCCAAGAGCCCCGAAAAUUGGGCUGCCAUAUAUUGGAAUCUACUACAUUGUAAUUUUAUUCACGUAUGGAACACCUGUAUAUACUUUUGAUUCUUGCUACAGAAACACAGUUCUGUAAAUGAAGGCCCAGCCAAAAAACCUUAAGAAGAUAGAGGUCAAAUUUUGCCUCCCCUACAGUUUCUGGUUAUGAGGUUGGGAUUUCAAUGGUUGGGACACUGAGAGAUCCUGGGACAGCUGACAAAAAGCCAG